RNAcentral lists this ribosomal RNA (253 nucleotides) under uncultured bacterium. RNAcentral describes it as "partial 16S ribosomal RNA". It matches the Rfam family "Bacterial small subunit ribosomal RNA", at positions 524 to 776 of the family's 1533-position model. The record is from RNAcentral.
UACGUAGGAUGCAAGCGUUGUCCGGAUUUAUUGGGCGUAAAGAGCUCGUAGGCGGCUCGUUGCGUCGGCUGUGAAAACCCACAGCUUAACUGUGGGCCUGCAGCCGAUACGGGCGAGCUAGAGUUCGGUAGGGGAGACUGGAAUUCCUGGUGUAGCGGUGAAAUGCGCAGAUAUCAGGAAGAACACCCGUGGCGAAGGCGGCUCUCUGGGACGGUACUGACGCUGAGACGCGAAAGCGUGGGGAGCGAACAGG